Non-coding RNA from Arabidopsis thaliana (thale cress), 186 nucleotides. RefSeq annotates it as microRNA ath-MIR825 precursor. The record is from RefSeq. The transcript has a single exon. NCBI's taxonomy places the organism in Eukaryota, Viridiplantae, Streptophyta, Magnoliopsida, Brassicales, Brassicaceae.
CUUUCUAUAAUUACUUUUUGUAUAGAAUUCACUAGUUGAUUCCAUCGACUCGUUCAAGCACCAGCUCGAAGAAGCUUAGCUAAUUUAUCUUAGAAAAUAAUGAAAAAGCUAUGCUUCUCAAGAAGGUGCAUGAACAAGUUGAUGUAUAUUUUGAUGUGUAAAGACCAAAAUUGGAUCUCACAUGUG